Small nucleolar RNA from Polyodon spathula (Mississippi paddlefish), 137 nucleotides. RefSeq annotates it as small nucleolar RNA SNORA42/SNORA80 family. NCBI's taxonomy places the organism in Eukaryota, Metazoa, Chordata, Actinopteri, Acipenseriformes, Polyodontidae. The transcript has a single exon. The record is from RefSeq and is a predicted model, not a curated record.
GCAUGGCUAUGGAUUUAUGGCAGGGUCUUCCCUAUGAUCCUUUCAUAGUGUACUCCAUGCUAAAUGAACACUUCUACUCCGAACCAUUGACUGGCCUCUUAAAUGUAGACUUGUUCACUGAAGUGAGUAGAACAUGC